Long non-coding RNA from Myiozetetes cayanensis, 3850 nucleotides. RefSeq lists it as uncharacterized. The record is from RefSeq and is a predicted model, not a curated record. Lineage: Eukaryota; Metazoa; Chordata; Aves; Passeriformes; Tyrannidae. The transcript is spliced from 5 exons.
GUGCCCAGGAGUGGAAACAGUUAUGAUGGACAGAAACCAAAAGAGAGAUUUCUGUAGGAGAUCAGAUGGCAAAUCAUUUUCUCUGCUGGAUGCCCCAGAAUUGAGUACAAAAAGGAAGAUCCAAAACAAGCAGAUCAUCACCAACCUCCGAGGAGUCUAGGAGACAUGCUGGUGGAUAGCUGAUGUCUUCAUCCUUCGUGUCCUCACAAGGGAUCCUAGAGUAGCCACUUGGAGAUACGCAUCUUGAUGCCUGCUGAUGGCCUGGCUGCUUGGACAUGCUGCCUCGUCACAGAUAAUCAGUUCACUGCUUUUUUAUCUCCAUAAUGUCCUGGUGACUUCUUAAAGAAAUGAGACCUGACUAACUUGCACAAAGUCACACAGAAAACUGGUGGCAGCACAGAGGACUGAGCUGAGGAUUUGUUGGCAUGGCAGACCAAAAAAACACAUUUGGGCAAGAUUCAAGCAGAUACCAGCCCAGCAGCUUCAAGUGCUCUCAUUCACAAGCAAUCAGUCAAAAUCUCGUUGUUGAGUUUGGUGGCACCGACAUCAAAGGUACAUAAUUUUUCAUUGUGUGUCCCCACUGAUGUCACCAUUGCAAAGCCUGAUGCAGGACAGAAAGAGCAGAUCCUGCCAGUUUUCACUGCCUGUAUUUGGCAGCACACAGAAGUUUUGUGAAGAGCUUUGCCAGAGGUGAGGUGAUGUUGGACACUUGUGAUAGCACUUCAAUAAGAUGUGGCACUCACUAACUUGACCUCAGGGACAACACUGAGACUUUCUGGGAGUUCAUUGCUAAGCUGCCAUGCUACUUAAAUAGCUUUAUGCCAUUUUUUUUUUUUUUUUACUUCUUGCUCUUUUAUCUGCUUUUCCAUGCAAAGACAUCCAGUAUGUCUCUUGGGCUGUCUUUUCUAUUCCAAUGUUGAUCUGCUACCAUAUGCUCCUGAAGAUGCUGCUGUGGUCCUCAUCUAGCCCUGAGAAUUGCCUGAGCCUUGGAUAGGCUGAGGGAGGUAUGAGGGCAUCAGAACCACACAGUACAUGGGUGACACAUGUCCUUACAACACUCAAGCAUGUGAGCAACAAAACAUUAUGCAGGAGAUAAUGACCCUUUUGCAUACGAUUAAAAAAAUCAGCCAGUGACAUUUCAGCCAGCCAGGAUGGCUUGAGCAGCUUCCACCUGUCUAACCCUGCCUUUGAAAUAAGGCCCUCCUUAUACUGCAAGAAAAUUAACUGAGGAGGAAGAGGGAAGUGGCAGGAACAUUCUUACAUUUAACAUCUGUUAAUGAAAGAUCAUUUUAUCAACUGCAAAACCAAGAAUAGUCAGUCUCCAGCUUCCCAAGCUUGUGAUGCCACAGUGCUUCUCAGAUUUGUGUUCCCUGUAGGAUGACACUGAUGAGGUGAAAAGGCAGUUUAGUUUCAAGAAGAUUAUUGCCUCACAGCACAGGGAAGAUAGGAACUUCAGGGCUUGAAUCUGAGCUUGACAGCCUCUUCUAUGCAUGUCAGAUGUCCUCGUCCAAACUCCAGCCCUCCCUCCCUUCCUUCCCUGCCACAAGACCAUAAUAACAAACCAACCAGAGCUGUCACCCAAAGGAGUAAAAGAGAGAGCUGGCUGAUACCAUUUUGAUGGUGAAGCAUAUGCACCUGGAUGGACGGUGUAUACAGCAUAACCCUCUGUUUCCUGAGAAAGAGGUGAAAGAUCAGUUAUGGGACCUGAAAGCAGGGAUGCCUCCAGUGCAAUUGAGAGAGCUCCAGAUUCCACAGCUCUGCCUCAGACAAAGAACAGCUGCCUGGAUUGUUUGUUGACACUUGCACCACAGUGUCAGUGCCACUGUGCUGCAGGAGAGGAUCUCAUCUCCAAACCAUGCUGGAUUAUUGGCUGGAGGUCAGCACCUUUCUUCCAAAAAGUACCAUCCAACUUUGAUUUUCACCAUCCAGAUCUGCAGAUCGACACCCUGAAGCAAUGUUCUUCCUUGACUCUGGUACUUCUACCCCGAUGAUCAGUUUAGCUGGUAAAGAAUUUUUAUAACAUGAAGAAACAUAUGAAGAAAUAGAGACCUAGCAAACCAAAAUAUAACUAGUGCCCAGUUGCUUCUUUAUCUGGCUGUGCUUUAUUUGCACAAGCUGAAGAACUUCAUGGUGCCAGGGGGAAUGUGACAGAAGUUCUUUGCCUCAUAAAUUAUUUUGGCCCAGUCUCCCCCUGCGAGAUAGGACAUGAGAGCAAGAGCUGGCAGUAUGGGUUCUGCUCCCAGCUUUGGCACUGACCUGCUGUGUGACCUCGGACAACUCACUUCACCUCCCCUGAGCUUCUGUUUCCCCUCCUCUCCUUUGUCUGCCUUGUUUAUUUGGACUGUCAACUCCUCAAGAAAGGAAUUCAGCCUCCCUGGCUGCUUGAAGAUUGCGUAGCAUGAUGGGAGCCCAAUUGGACUUGCUCCUGGGAGGUACUACAGUAAAAAAGCUCAUAAUGAUGACUAAAAACUAGCACUUGCUAAACAAUUGUAUGGGAGUUUUUAAUAUUAAAUGUCAUACAUGAACUAGCAGGACAUCUCUGGCAGAUCAGAGAGCUUGUCCAGGGGCAACAACUGUUGUUUUGUUCCUUUUGCAUGGCCACACCGAAGGCGGUAUCUACCAGCCCCAUAAAUUUUGACAUCUUCUCCCUGUCCCAGCUGCACAGUGGGAGGAGUGGGAAGGAUCUGCCAGAAAUAGGGAAUGUUUGUUGGAGGUAAUGAAGAAGGCUUCUCUUGGAGUCCUCCCCCUCGCAAACAUCUGGACAGAUAACAGCUCUUCCGAGAAAGAUUGAAAGAGUUGGGGAGGCCUCCUGGAAAGGGCAGGGAAAUGCUCCACUUUGAAGCUGGUCAGAGUCAAGGGCAGAAAGGUUGAGAGAGGCUGCAGGGGCUAAUGCAGACCCUGUCACCCAGGGGUCAGGGAUGGAACAAACGAAAUCAAGGACACCAAAAGCCUAUGGGACAGAUCAUCUUUGGGUGAAACCACAAGAGCCAUGAUUUCAGAAUACACUUCUUUCAGGCAAGUGCUGCAGCUUUGAAAUCCAUUUAACCAUAUGAAUGGCCUCAAGAGGUGUAAUGAAGGAUUUGCCAUUGCAUUCAUGGCUCUGGAGGAGACUCCAUGCUCACCCACUGGCUUUUGCUUCACUCACAGUGCCCCCGCCAGUGCCACCGCUGUCCCUCAGCCAGCAGCAUGCCCUCCUCUUCUGGUUAACUGCCCCACAACUGGUACACAAGGACACCCUGAUAUGGCAAGAAUCACAUCGUUUACACUACAGGCCACUCCACAGCUGCAGCUAGGAGCAAGUCGUUUCUCUAAUGUACCAAGUUUGCUUUCAAAAAAGGUCUAUUCUGCUACCCUUUUGGCAGCAGCCUGCAGCUUGACCAACUCCAUUGGUAUACUUGUUUCCUUUUAAAAUGUCUUAAAGGUAUUGCAUGGAUUAGCCUGUCAUUGGCUUUCUCAAGCCCCAGAGAUACAGAGGAGUCUACUGUGAGUACUGUGGAAAGCAGCUCCUUAAGUGAUGCUUUCCAGUUGACAGGACAGGAGUGCAGGCAGUACUUUCUGAAAGCCAAACCACAUGUUAACCCAUCAACCAGAAGCCAAUCCAGAACUGUCCUCCCCCAAGUACUGUUCUCCAGUGCUUUGCCCAUUUAUGCCUGUGCUAGUGAAGGUCCUUUUCCCUGCCUGCCCACCCUGCAGGCACAUCCCUGUGGUGUGAGUCCUUCCAACCUUGUCAAUGCCUGGGAGCACACAGGGGCUCCUUCUGUCUCCAAAUGCAACAGGUGGCAUAACAAAGACACAGAUGAUCUAAGCAAAUAGACUCCACCUGUCCUAAAUUCCCUACUUCCCACUGCAG